RNAcentral lists this ribosomal RNA (360 nucleotides) under Triticum aestivum (bread wheat). Its description in RNAcentral is "partial small subunit ribosomal RNA". The record is from RNAcentral. Lineage: Eukaryota; Viridiplantae; Streptophyta; Magnoliopsida; Poales; Poaceae.
AUGGCCAAAUUCUAGUGGAGUGGAUCUCUUGAUCGACGAUCUAUGCAUUGGCUAUCAUGGGAGAAACUUGCAUCACCGAAGUGUCAGGGAGGAAUGGGUUUUCGCGAUCUUGAGUUAUUCAACCUGGCACUACUUGGUAAGCAUGGAUGGAGAUUUAUUACUAAUCCUAACUCUUUAUGUGCCCAAGUGAUGAAGGGGCGUUAUUUUCCGGAUUAUAAUUUUAUGGAGGCUUCAGUACCACACACAUCGUCUGCUAUUUGGCGAGCGAUCAUCGCCGGAAGGGAAGCUCUCCAUGUUGGUCUCAUUAAGAGGGUGGGGGACGGCAGCACUAUCUCGAUUUGGGAAGAUAAGUGGAUCCCG